CUGGGAGUAAUGAAGGACAAGAACAGCUAGAAAAGAGGAGACAGCAACUAGCCAACAGUCUUCAUGGGGAAUGUUCAGUCAAGUAUGGCCUUGGCUCCUCCCCCUCGCAGGACCCCUAUUAGUCCUCUUUAUGUUUCUCCUAAUAGGACCAUGUCUAAUAAAUUGCCUACAGAAGUUCCUGCAAGAUCAGAUACACAAAUUCACCAACCAGUCAAUCAACUACUUCUUUAAGACUACCAGCCCCUGAUGCCCAAGACGGAGACCUAUGACUCAUGACCAACUCCUCUAGCUCCAGAGACUCUGCCCCC
This 308-nucleotide long non-coding RNA is filed under the name Marmota monax (woodchuck). The record is from RNAcentral. Lineage: Eukaryota; Metazoa; Chordata; Mammalia; Rodentia; Sciuridae.